RNAcentral lists this ribosomal RNA (775 nucleotides) under uncultured Neocallimastigales. RNAcentral describes it as "partial large subunit ribosomal RNA". It matches the Rfam family "Eukaryotic large subunit ribosomal RNA", at positions 22 to 647 of the family's 3401-position model. The record is from RNAcentral. Lineage: Eukaryota; Fungi; Neocallimastigomycota; Neocallimastigomycetes; Neocallimastigales.
UAGAUGCGAGAGUAGAGCAUAUCAAUAAGCGGAGGAAAAGAAACUAACUAGGAUUCCCUUAGUAACGGCGAGUGAAGCGGGAAGAGCUCAAAUUUGAAAUCUUACAAGGUUUUACCUUGACGAAUUGUAGUUUAAAGAAGUGUUUUCUGUUAGAGGAGUGGUAAAAGUUCUUUGGAAUAGGACAUCAUAGAGGGUGAGAAUCCCGUAUUUGGUCAUUCCUCCUAGCGUUGUGAUACACUUUCAAAGAGUCGGAUUGUUUGGGAAUGCAGUCCAAAAUGGGUGGUAAAUUUCAUCUAAAGCUAAAUAUUGGCGAGAGACCGAUAGCGAACAAGUACCGUGAGGGAAAGAUGAAAAGAACUUUGAAAAGAGAGUUAAACAGUACGUGAAAUUGUCAAAAGGGAAGCGUUUGACACCAGUGUUGUUUUUCCGAAAAUCAAUUACGAAUGUUUUAUUUUUGAGGAGUUAUGACUUCAUCGGCUUGCUCCUUUCUUUACGAAACUUUCUUAAUGCACUUUUCGGUUAACAAGUCAACAUCAAUUUCUUUUGUUGUAAAAGGGUAUGAGGAAGGUGGCUUUCUUUUCGGAGAAAGUGUUUAUAGCCUUGUGCCUCUGCAAUCGGAGAGAUUGAGGUCUGCAGCGUAGAUCCUUCGGGGUUAGAUACAUUUGUGCUAAGUUAUAGCUUUUCAUAGACAACUUGUUGACUAUGAUUAGUCUUGUAGCUUACUCGCUUACGCUAUUUUACCUACGCUUAGGAUGUUGACGAGACUGUCGAUCUC